Molecule: long non-coding RNA, 1966 nt
Filed under: Pelobates cultripes (western spadefoot toad)
Lineage: Eukaryota; Metazoa; Chordata; Amphibia; Anura; Pelobatidae
Source: RNAcentral
CUGGCCUUAAAUUUAAAAUUCAGUCAAGUUUCUGUGCGCUUCUUACAUUUUCAUGUUCUUCUUCGUUUGCAGGUUCUGAAAAAUUUUGCUCAGACCUAGCGUUUUCUUCAUGUUUCCAAGCUUUUUAAGAGUUUAUUCACUGAAAAAGAUUUUGUGAAGAAUAGACAAACUUGAAAUGCUAGACCAAAAUCACAGAAUUGGGUAAAUUCUAUAAAUUUGAAUAAAAUAUUUUUGCCUGAAAUCAACAAUUUCCUAGUCCUGUUUCCAGAGCUGCUGACUUGGUGAAUAUUCCCUUUAAUAUAGUAUAAAUUUCUUGGGUGGGAAAAUAUAAUUUUGUAUAAAAUCAGAAGCUAGAUAUGAGCUGGAAGUAAUAAAGUACAUUUUAAGAUUUCCUUCAAUGUGUAAAUCUCGGGAAAAUAAUUGAUAAAUCCUAACAUAUAAUCUCUUUGUGAAUAUUCCAGGAAGAAGACCCCUCUCCGGAAAAUGUUUGCAUUUAAUGAUUGCAAACCACGUCAGUUUUUGUAGGUCAUCAUCAGAAGAGAACUCGUCUGACUCGGAUAUAACAAUGGAUGGUAAUGACCUGCUACAGGCAGAGACCUUUGUUGAGCGUCUUGAGCCAAGCUGUAUUCUAAUCCUGAUUAUAACUGGCAAAAUUAUAAUGAACAUCUUUAUUUUCGGAGCAAAACUAAGAAGCGUCAGUCCGAGUUUCAUGGGAUAUUUUUGUCUGUCCCUAGCCUUGACCGAUUUUGCUCUUUUGUUUUCAGUCUCCAGCAUUCAUUAUUUUCAGGAUUUUGCGAUAUGGGGAGUUAGGUUCACAACUUACCAUAUAUGUCUGCUGACGCAGAUUAUAUCCCACACAUAUGGUAUCUUACACUAUCCUGUUUUUGUAGCAAGUGGACUGGAUUAUUACUUGACUAUUGUAAAGUCUGUACAUCUUUCAAGGUUUUGCAGUGGAUUUCUAUAUUCUGCAGUUGUUCUGCUCCUGUGGACUUUGGCUUUUUUGUAUACCCUCAAUAUCCCGGCUGGCUCGGCAGAAUGGAAUGCUGGAGUAAUAUCCCACCAAUGCACUUUUUACAUCAGCAGACAAAGUUUUUAUCUAUCAGCUGCCAUAGUCGUUACAGUUUUCAUGGUUCUUGUAAUCUGCUGUUUUGAGGUUGUGGCAUUAAUAAGAACAAUGAAACUAACUUCCUAUGGUGAUAAAACUGUGAUUCUGUUUUCAUAUGGAAAUGAGUGGCCAAUACGAAGCACUAGAUGUCUCCUGACUUCUCUUCUAUUUUCAUUUCUGGGGACGUGGGCGCCAUUUGUUCUCAUUCAAAUAAUCAUUUUUUUCUCAUGUGCCCAUAUCCCGGGAUACAUGGAUAUGAAUGUUGCAUGGCUGUAUUUCAUGAACAGCUUUCUAGUGGGAGUAUCUUAUAGUCUUGAGUAUCCCAAUAUUCCAAUAAUAGAUCGGAUGUUUAAUGUGGAUCCAUUUAUAGACUGGAAAUACAUUUUUUUUCCAUUUUAUACAGAGGACAGCCAAAAAACUGCAUUAAAGGAAAUGCCUCUGGAAGUUGUGAUUUAAUAAUAAAAAAUAUAUAUAUAUAUAUAUUUUAUGUGUAUUUUUCUUGCAUACUUGCACAUUUUGAAAAGCUUUUUUUUUUGUUUUUGUUUUGUUUUUCUAACUUGACCUUGUUACUAAGAGCCAUAAUUAUACCGGUUUUAGUGGUUUUCCUGGACCAAAGUCUAUCUAAAUUUUCAUUAAUUUAUGAACAAGUAGGAAAAAGCUGUCCUUGAUAUAAAUGUCUUCUAUAGACCCUUAUUUGUAGUUAUUGGAGAAUAUACAUUAAUGCAGUGACAUUGACUGUUCUGUCAGCACUUGUAAUAUAAAUUAAACCCCUUCAACUUGAUCCAAUGCAGAUUCUGUCAUUUUUGUAUUUUUGCUAAAUUUCAUAUUGAAAUAAAAAAAUAAACAUUGCAGUGAGGUGGC